GGACGAACGCUGGCGGCGUGCCUAAUACAUGCAAGUCGUACGCUUCUUUUUCCACCGGAGCUUGCUCCACCGGAAAAAGAAGAGUGGCGAACGGGUGAGUAACACGUGGGUAACCUGCCCAUCAGAAGGGGAUAACACUUGGAAACAGGUGCUAAUACCGUAUAACAAUCGAAACCGCAUGGUUUUGAUUUGAAAGGCGCUUUCGGGUGUCGCUGAUGGAUGGACCCGCGGUGCAUUAGCUAGUUGGUGAGGUAACGGCUUCCACCAAGGCCACGAUGCAUAGCCGACCUGAGAGGGUGAUCGGCCACAUUGGGACUGAGACACGGCCCAAACUCCUACGGGAGGCAGCAGUAGGGAAUCUUCGGCAAUGGACGAAAGUCUGACCGAGCAACGCCGCGUGAGUGAAGAAGGUUUUCGGAUCGUAAAACUCUGUUGUUAGAGAAGAACAAGGAUGAGAGUAACUGUUCAUCCCUUGACGGUAUCUAACCAGAAAGCCACGGCUAACUACGUGCCAGCAGCCGCGGUAAUACGUAGGUGGCAAGCGUUGUCCGGAUUUAUUGGGCGUAAAGCGAGCGCAGGCGGUUUCUUAAGUCUGAUGUGAAAGCCCCCGGCUCAACCGGGGAGGGUCAUUGGAAACUGGGAGACUUGAGUGCAGAAGAGGAGAGUGGAAUUCCAUGUGUAGCGGUGAAAUGCGUAGAUAUAUGGAGGAACACCAGUGGCGAAGGCGGCUCUCUGGUCUGUAACUGACGCUGAGGCUCGAAAGCGUGGGGAGCAAACAGGAUUAGAUACCCUGGUAGUCCACGCCGUAAACGAUGAGUGCUAAGUGUUGGAGGGUUUCCGCCCUUCAGUGCUGCAGCUAACGCAUUAAGCACUCCGCCUGGGGAGUACGACCGCAAGGUUGAAACUCAAAGGAAUUGACGGGGGCCCGCACAAGCGGUGGAGCAUGUGGUUUAAUUCGAAGCAACGCGAAGAACCUUACCAGGUCUUGACAUCCUUUGACCACUCUAGAGAUAGAGCUUCCCCUUCGGGGGCAAAGUGACAGGUGGUGCA
Molecule: ribosomal RNA, 1050 nt
Filed under: Enterococcus faecium
Lineage: Bacteria; Bacillati; Bacillota; Bacilli; Lactobacillales; Enterococcaceae
Description: bacterial SSU rRNA
Rfam family: Bacterial small subunit ribosomal RNA
Source: RNAcentral